RNAcentral lists this ribosomal RNA (449 nucleotides) under uncultured bacterium. RNAcentral's name for it is "bacterial SSU rRNA". It matches the Rfam family "Bacterial small subunit ribosomal RNA", at positions 354 to 796 of the family's 1533-position model. The record is from RNAcentral.
GUGGGGAAUCUUGCGCAAUGGGCGAAAGCCUGACGCAGCGACGCCGCGUGAGGGAAGAAGGCCUUCGGGUUGUAAACCUCUUUCAGGAGGGACGAAGCCACUCGGGUUAAUAGCCCAGAGGGUGACGGUACCUCCAGAAGAAGCCCCGGCUAACUACGUGCCAGCAGCCGCGGUAAUACGUAGGGGGCAAGCGUUGUCCGGAUUUAUUGGGCGUAAAGAGCGUGUAGGCGGCUUCACAAGUCCGCUGUGAAAACUCGAGGCUCAACCUCGAGCUGUCGGUGGAAACUGUGUGGCUAGAGUCCGGAAGAGGAGAGUGGAAUUCCCGGUGUAGCGGUGAAAUGCGCAGAUAUCGGGAAGAACACCCGUGGCGAAGGCGGCUCUCUGGGACGGUACUGACGCUGAGACGCGAAAGCGUGGGGAGCGAACAGGAUUAGAUACCCCUGUAGUCC